Molecule: ribosomal RNA, 730 nt
Filed under: uncultured bacterium
Lineage: Bacteria
Description: bacterial SSU rRNA
Rfam family: Bacterial small subunit ribosomal RNA
Source: RNAcentral
AACAGGAUUAGAUACCCUGGUAGUCCACGCCGUAAACGAUGUCGACUUGGAGGUUGUGCCCUUGAGGCGUGGCUUCCGGAGCUAACGCGUUAAGUCGACCGCCUGGGGAGUACGGCCGCAAGGUUAAAACUCAAAUGAAUUGACGGGGGCCCGCACAAGCGGUGGAGCAUGUGGUUUAAUUCGAUGCAACGCGAAGAACCUUACCUACUCUUGACAUCCAGAGAACUUUCCAGAGAUGGAUUGGUGCCUUCGGGAACUCUGAGACAGGUGCUGCAUGGCUGUCGUCAGCUCGUGUUGUGAAAUGUUGGGUUAAGUCCCGCAACGAGCGCAACCCUUAUCCUUUGUUGCCAGCGAUUCGGUCGGGAACUCAAAGGAGACUGCCAGUGAUAAACUGGAGGAAGGUGGGGAUGACGUCAAGUCAUCAUGGCCCUUACGAGUAGGGCUACACACGUGCUACAAUGGCAUAUACAAAGAGAAGCGACCUCGCGAGAGCAAGCGGACCUCAUAAAGUAUGUCGUAGUCCGGAUUGGAGUCUGCAACUCGACUCCAUGAAGUCGGAAUCGCUAGUAAUCGUGGAUCAGAAUGCCACGGUGAAUACGUUCCCGGGCCUUGUACACACCGCCCGUCACACCAUGGGAGUGGGUUGCAAAAGAAGUAGGUAGCUUAGCCUUCGGGAGGGCGCUUACCACUUUGUGAUUCAUGACUGGGGUGAAGUCGUAACAAGGUAACC